RNAcentral lists this ribosomal RNA (204 nucleotides) under uncultured Streptococcus sp. RNAcentral's name for it is "partial 16S ribosomal RNA". It matches the Rfam family "Bacterial small subunit ribosomal RNA", at positions 1179 to 1382 of the family's 1533-position model. The record is from RNAcentral. Lineage: Bacteria; Bacillati; Bacillota; Bacilli; Lactobacillales; Streptococcaceae.
AUGACGUCAAAUCAUCAUGCCCCUUAUGACCUGGGCUACACACGUGCUACAAUGGUUGGUACAACGAGUUGCGAGUCGGUGACGGCGAGCUAAUCUCUUAAAGCCAAUCUCAGUUCGGAUUGUAGGCUGCAACUCGCCUACAUGAAGUCGGAAUCGCUAGUAAUCGCGGAUCAACACGCCGCGGUGAAUACGUUCCCGGGCCUU